GCAGCUUUGCAAUAAUGAAUUUUUCGGCGAAGUGAGGAGGACAAGACAGUGGAAUAAUAUGAUGAACUUCCUCAAGUAUGUUUGGGCUUAAGGCAUCAAACAUCUUCACUGAAAACGAGUCUUCAAAUACAAUUGCCCUACAAUGGUGGACCAAUUAUCCAUGUAAAAAAUUGUGGGAUUUGAAAGCUUUAUUAGAAGAUGGAAUAGUCUUAAAGAGAGAGCUGUAAAGUAAAAGCAGAGCAGCAGAUGUAAUCUGCUUUUGAUCUUCCUCUUAAAAAAGGAAGAGCCAGUGAAAAUUCUACCGAUGCAAUAUGUGGGCCUUCCAUUUUGAAGGGUCACUGUCUUUCUAGGGUGUCUCUCUCACUGUGAUCUAAAGAACCAUUUGUGAACGCACCCAAAAGAAAAUUGAGAAAAUUGUGGUCACCCUUUUGCUUUUCUUGGUAAUAGCAAUGCCCAUUUCUAUUGCCAUUGCCAAUGCAUGCCAUUGGGACUACACAAUAUGAGUUUUGGUGAAGGGCAUCUUUGACAAACUUUUCAUUUCUCUUGUUUUCAAGUCUUGAGCAUCAUGUGUAUCUUUAUAUAUAUAUAUUUUUAAAAAUUUGUGAAUAUGUUGUUCUUUAAU
Molecule: long non-coding RNA, 622 nt
Organism: Cucurbita moschata (crookneck pumpkin)
Lineage: Eukaryota; Viridiplantae; Streptophyta; Magnoliopsida; Cucurbitales; Cucurbitaceae
Exons: 3
Source: RefSeq, a predicted model, not a curated record